GGGGAAGUGGCGGAACGGUCUACGCGAUCGCCUCAAAAGCGAUUGAGCCUCUGCGCUCUUGUGGGUUCGAAUCCCACCUUCCCCACCA
RNAcentral lists this transfer RNA (88 nucleotides) under Vulcanimicrobiota bacterium. RNAcentral describes it as "tRNA-Leu". It matches the Rfam family "tRNA". From Rfam's summary of the family: Transfer RNA (tRNA) molecules are approximately 80 nucleotides in length. Their secondary structure includes four short double-helical elements and three loops (D, anti-codon, and T loops). Further hydrogen bonds mediate the characteristic L-shaped molecular structure. tRNAs have two regions of fundamental functional importance: the anti-codon, which is responsible for specific mRNA codon recognition, and the 3' end, to which the tRNAs corresponding amino acid is attached (by aminoacyl-tRNA synthetases). tRNAs cope with the degeneracy of the genetic code in two manners: having more than one tRNA (with a specific anti-codon) for a particular amino acid; and 'wobble' base-pairing, i.e. permitting non-standard base-pairing at the 3rd anti-codon position. The record is from RNAcentral. Lineage: Bacteria; Bacillati; Vulcanimicrobiota.